UACGUAGGGUGCGAGCGUUAAUCGGAAUUACUGGGCGUAAAGCGUGCGCAGGCGGUUUUGUAAGACCGAUGUGAAAUCCCCGGGCUCAACCUGGGAACUGCAUUGGUGACUGCAAGGCUAGAGUGUGUCAGAGGGAGGUGGAAUUCCACGUGUAGCAGUGAAAUGCGUAGAGAUGUGGAGGAACACCGAUGGCGAAGGCAGCCUCCUGGGAUAACACUGACGCUCAUGCACGAAAGCGUGGGGAGCAAACAGG
Molecule: ribosomal RNA, 253 nt
Filed under: uncultured bacterium
Lineage: Bacteria
Description: partial 16S ribosomal RNA
Rfam family: Bacterial small subunit ribosomal RNA
Source: RNAcentral